Molecule: ribosomal RNA, 497 nt
Filed under: uncultured bacterium
Lineage: Bacteria
Description: partial 16S ribosomal RNA
Rfam family: Bacterial small subunit ribosomal RNA
Source: RNAcentral
GAUGAACGCUGGCGGCGUGCCUAAUACAUGCAAGUCGAGCGAACAGAUAAGGAGCUUGCUCCUUUGACGUUAGCGGCGGACGGGUGAGUAACACGUGGAUAACCUACCUAUAAGACUGGGAUAACUUCGGGAAACCGGAUCUAAUACCGGAUAACAUAUUGAACCGCAUGGUUCAAUAGUGAAAGGCGGCUUUGCUGUCACUUAUAGAUGGAUCCGCGCCGUAUUAGCUAGUUGGUAAGGUAACGGCUUACCAAGGCAACGAUACGUAGCCGACCUGAGAGGGUGAUCGGCCACACUGGAACUGAGACACGGUCCAGACUCCUACGGGAGGCAGCAGUAGGGAAUCUUCCGCAAUGGGCGAAAGCCUGACGGAGCAACGCCGCGUGAGUGAUGAAGGUCUUCGGAUCGUAAAACUCUGUUAUCAGGGAAGAACAAAUGUGUAAGUAACUGUGCACAUCUUGACGGUACCUGAUCAGAAAGCCACGGCUAACUACGUG